Molecule: transfer RNA, 90 nt
Filed under: Streptomyces lateritius
Lineage: Bacteria; Bacillati; Actinomycetota; Actinomycetes; Kitasatosporales; Streptomycetaceae
Description: tRNA-His
Source: RNAcentral
GCCGCGUGUGCCGGACGGCCGCACAGGUCGCAUCCGUGACGGGCGAUGGUCGGCUGCCGGCCGGCUGCGGUACGGGACCGCAGGGCGGCG